UGCUAAUACAUGCAAGUCGAGCGAACGGACGAGAAGCUUGCUUCUCUGAUGUUAGCGGCGGACGGGUGAGUAACACGUGGAUAACCUACCUAUAAGACUGGGAUAACUUCGGGAAACCGGAGCUAAUACCGGAUAAUAUUUUGAACCGCAUGGUUCAAAAGUGAAAGACGGUCUUGCUGUCACUUAUAGAUGGAUCCGCGCUGCAUUAGCUAGUUGGUAAGGUAACGGCUUACCAAGGCAACGAUGCAUAGCCGACCUGAGAGGGUGAUCGGCCACACUGGAACUGAGACACGGUCCAGACUCCUACGGGAGGCAGCAGUAGGGAAUCUUCCGCAAUGGGCGAAAGCCUGACGGAGCAACGCCGCGUGAGUGAUGAAGGUCUUCGGAUCGUAAAACUCUGUUAUUAGGGAAGAACAUAUGUGUAAGUAACUGUGCACAUCUUGACGGUACCUAAUCAGAAAGCCACGGCUAACUACGUGCCAGCAGCCGCGGUAAUACGUAGGUGGCAAGCGUUAUCCGGAAUUAUUGGGCGUAAAGCGCGCGUAGGCGGUUUUUUAAGUCUGAUGUGAAAGCCCACGGCUCAACCGUGGAGGGUCAUUGGAAACUGGAAAACUUGAGUGCAGAAGAGGAAAGUGGAAUUCCAUGUGUAGCGGUGAAAUGCGCAGAGAUAUGGAGGAACACCAGUGGCGAAGGCGACUUUCUGGUCUGUAACUGACGCUGAUGUGCGAAAGCGUGGGGAUCAAACAGGAUUAGAUACCCUGGUAGUCCACGCCGUAAACGAUGAGUGCUAAGUGUUAGGGGGUUUCCGCCCCUUAGUGCUGCAGCUAACGCAUUAAGCACUCCGCCUGGGGAGUACGACCGCAAGGUUGAAACUCAAAGGAAUUGACGGGGACCCGCACAAGCGGUGGAGCAUGUGGUUUAAUUCGAAGCAACGCGAAGAACCUUACCAAAUCUUGACAUCCUUUGACAACUCUAGAGAUAGAGCCUUCCCCUUCGGGGGACAAAGUGACAGGUGGUGCAUGGUUGUCGUCAGCUCGUGUCGUGAGAUGUUGGGUUAAGUCCCGCAACGAGCGCAACCCUUAAGCUUAGUUGCCAUCAUUAAGUUGGGCACUCUAAGUUGACUGCCGGUGACAAACCGGAGGAAGGUGGGGAUGACGUCAAAUCAUCAUGCCCCUUAUGAUUUGGGCUACACACGUGCUACAAUGGACAAUACAAAGGGCAGCGAAACCGCGAGGUCA
RNAcentral lists this ribosomal RNA (1238 nucleotides) under Staphylococcus argenteus. Its description in RNAcentral is "bacterial SSU rRNA". It matches the Rfam family "Bacterial small subunit ribosomal RNA", at positions 45 to 1265 of the family's 1533-position model. Lineage: Bacteria; Bacillati; Bacillota; Bacilli; Caryophanales; Staphylococcaceae. The record is from RNAcentral.